UACAGAGGUCUCAAGCGUUGUUCGGAUUCAUUGGGCGUAAAGGGUGCGUAGGUGGCGUCGUGAGUGGGUUGUGAAAUCCCGGGGCUUAACCCCGGGACUGCAUUCCAUACUGCGGUGCUUGAGGACUGGAGAGGUGAGUGGAAUUCCCAGUGUAGCGGUGAAAUGCGUAGAUAUUGGGAGGAACACCAGUGGCGAAGGCGGCUCACUGGACCGGUUCUGACGCUGAGGCGCGAAAGCGUGGGGAGCAAACAGG
This 253-nucleotide ribosomal RNA is filed under the name uncultured bacterium. RNAcentral's name for it is "partial 16S ribosomal RNA". It matches the Rfam family "Bacterial small subunit ribosomal RNA", at positions 524 to 776 of the family's 1533-position model. The record is from RNAcentral.